Molecule: ribosomal RNA, 494 nt
Filed under: uncultured bacterium
Lineage: Bacteria
Description: bacterial SSU rRNA
Rfam family: Bacterial small subunit ribosomal RNA
Source: RNAcentral
GAUGAACGCUAGCGGCAGGCUUAACACAUGCAAGUCGUGGGGCAGCGCGGGUAGCAAUACCUGGCGGCGACCGGCAAACGGGUGCGGAACACGUACGCAACCUCCCUCAAAGCGGGGAAUAGCCUCUCGAAAGAGAGAUUAAUACCCCAUAGUAUCCCGAAGUCACAUGACUUUGGGAUUAAAGCUCCGGCACUUUGAGAUGGGCGUGCGGCUGAUUAGGUAGUUGGUAGGGUAACGGCCUACCAAGCCGACGAUCAGUAGCUGAUGUGAGAGCAUGAUCAGCCACACGGGCACUGAGACACGGGCCCGACUCCUACGGGAGGCAGCAGUGAGGAAUAUUGGUCAAUGGAGGAAACUCUGAACCAGCCAUGCCGCGUGGAGGAUGAAGGUCCUCUGGAUUGUAAACUCCUUUUAUAAAAGAAGAAACCCCAUUUUUCUAAAUGGGUUGACGGUACUUUAUGAAUAAGCACCGGCUAACUCCGUGCCAGCAGCCG